UCGGGAAUUUUGGGCAAUGGGCGAAAGCCUGACCCAGCAACGCCGCGUGAAGGAUGAAGUAUUUCGGUAUGUAAACUUCGAAAGAAUAGGAAGAAUAAAUGACGGUACUAUUUAUAAGGUCCGGCUAACUACGUGCCAGCAGCCGCGGUAAUACGUAGGGACCAAGCGUUGUUCGGAUUUACUGGGCGUAAAGGGCGCGUAGGCGGCAAUUCAAGUCAUCUGUGAAAUCUCCGGGCUUAACUCAGAACGGUCAGAUGAUACUGCUUUGCUAGAGUGCAGAAGGGGCAAUCGGAAUUCUUGGUGUAGCGGUGAAAUGCGUAGAUAUCAAGAGGAACACCUGAGGUGAAGACGGGUUGCUGGGCUGACACUGACGCUGAGGCGCGAAAGCCAGGGGAGCAAACGGGAUUAGAUACCCAAGUAGUCCCUGAGCGGGCUGGCAAGGCGCAU
Molecule: ribosomal RNA, 447 nt
Filed under: uncultured bacterium
Lineage: Bacteria
Description: bacterial SSU rRNA
Rfam family: Bacterial small subunit ribosomal RNA
Source: RNAcentral